UCCACUCCAUUGUUUUAUUAUGUACAAACGCUACAGAACGAGGGGGACAGACACGCGUGGGGUAAGAAGGGCCUGGUGGGAGGAGUUCACAGAGCAGACGGUGCACUGGGACCAGGAGAGCAGAACACAGGCCAUAACUAUAGGGCAGGAGGUGCGGGGGCGUCGUCCCCCUUCUGUUCUCCCCCCAAGGUCACAGUGCAUGCAAUAAAAUAUAUAUACAGGAGCUAGAUCCGUCCUCUGCAGGGGCUCUGAGGGUCCAGAGCUCCCUUCGGGUGGCGGGAAGCCAGUGGCGCUCCCUGGCGGCCAGGCCGGGCUGGAGCCACAUGCGUCGGGGGAGCGGGGGUCAGUCCCAGCCGUUGUCUUUGAUCAUGUGGUUGAGUUCAAUGAUGUACUUCCCCUCUUUGUACUUCUGGCUGCUCUCAA
This 423-nucleotide long non-coding RNA is filed under the name Homo sapiens (human). RNAcentral's name for it is "long non-coding RNA NONHSAT141701.2". The record is from RNAcentral. Lineage: Eukaryota; Metazoa; Chordata; Mammalia; Primates; Hominidae.